This 1034-nucleotide ribosomal RNA is filed under the name Alexandrium catenella. Its description in RNAcentral is "partial large subunit ribosomal RNA". It matches the Rfam family "Eukaryotic large subunit ribosomal RNA", at positions 200 to 1191 of the family's 3401-position model. Lineage: Eukaryota; Dinophyceae; Gonyaulacales; Pyrocystaceae. The record is from RNAcentral.
GCGUCAAUGAGGGUGAGAAUCCUGUUUGUCAUGUGCAGCCCUUUGUGCACGGUGUAUAUUUGCUGAGUCACACUCCUUGGCAUUGGAAUGCAAAGUGGGUGGUAAGUUUCAUGUAAAGGUAAACAUGCAAUUGAGACUGAUAGCACACAAGUACCAUGAGGGAAAUAUGAAAAGGACUUUGAAAAGAGAAUUAAAUGAGUUUGUAUUUGCUGAACACAAAGUAAACAGACUUGAUUUGCUUGGUGGGAGUGUUGCACUUGCUUGACAAGAGCUUUGGGCUGUGGGUGUAAUGAUUCUUUCUUUGCAUGCCAGUUUCUAUUUGUACAUCUGAUUACCUUUGCACAUGAAUGAUAAGUCUCCUGUGGGGGGUGGAUUGCAUGUGCAUGUAAUGAUUUGUGUUUUGAUAAAUGUGUCUGGUGUAUGUGUGUGUUCCUGUGCUUGGGGAUGCUUCCUUCCUUGGACUUACAAGCCCUGACACACACAUGCUGGCAAAAUGCUUCUGCUUGACCCGUCUUGAAACACGGACCAAGGAGUCUAACAGAUGUGCAAAGUUUGAAGGUGGUAUACCUUUGUGUGCAAUGAAAGUGUCAGCUGGGAUAUGUGCACCAGCACCCAAUUAAUUAGCGGACAGAGGUUUGAGUUGGAGCAUAUCUAUUAGGACCCGAAAGAUGGUGAACUAUGCCUGAACAGAAUGAAUUCAGAGGAAACUCUGAUGGAGGUUCGUAUCGAUACUGACGUGCAAAUCGUUCGUCAUAUUUGGGUAUAGGGGCGAAAGACUAAUCGAACCAUCUAGUAGCUGGUUCCCUCCGAAGUUUCCCUCAGGAUAGCUGGAGUUGCUCAGUUUUAUCAGGUAAAGCGAAUGAUUAGAGGAAUUGGGGACAGGUUUGUCUUUGACCUAUUCUCAAACUUUAAAUGGGUAAUAUGUAGUGGUUGCUGUAUGGAACUUCUAAGAUAAAUGGCAAUAUUGGGUGGGCCAUUUUUGGUAAGCAGAACUGGCGAUGAAGGAUGAACCUAAUGUGGGGCUAAGGUGCUUA